CUAUAGCGUUUAUCAUUUUUCUAAUUUCUUCUCUAGCCGAGUGUGAGAGAUUACCUUUUGAUUUUUUAUUCUUUCUUUCCUAUAUACUCAUUUUAUCUAGAGAGAUAGAAUCAUUGUCAUGNCGCGCGAAUAGAGAUAGCAGAGGCAUGGGAUACCAUUCCAUUUGCGCAAGUAAUAAGGGGUUCCAUAUUAAUAACUCAAUCUCUUUUUAGAAAAUAUAUUUUAUUACCUUCAUUGAUAAUAGCGAAAAAUAUUGGACGUAUGUUAUUAUUGCAACUUCCUGAAUGGUACGAGGAUUUAGAGGAAUGGAAUAGGGAGAUGCAUGUUAAAUGUACCUAUAAUGGUGUUCAAUUGUCUGAAACAGAAUUUUCACAAAAUUGGUUGACAGAUGGUAUUCAGAUAAAAAUCUUAUUUCCUUUCUGUCUGAAACUUGGCAUAUAUCUAAACUCCGAUUCUCUCAUAAAGAUCUAAUAAUGAAAAAGAAAAAAAGAAAAAGAUGGUUUUUGUUUUUUAACAAUUUUGGGGAUGGAAACCAAACUUCCUUUUAGUACUCCAAGAAAACGACCCUCUUUUUUGGAAUCCAUUUUUAAGGAACUCGAAAAAAAUUGGAAAAAUUCAAAAGAAAUAUUUUCUACUUCUAAAAAUUUUUAAAGGAAAAAUAAAAUUACUUCGAAAAGUUUCAAAAGAAACAAAAAAAGGGGUUAUGAAAAGUGUCGUUUUUAAAAAAAGAAAAAGAAAAAGAAAAGAACUCUUAAAAGUAAAUCCAAUUCUCUUAUUUCGAUCAAGAAAAGUAGAAGUAAAUGAAUCGAGUGAAACUAAAAAAGAAAGAGAUCCCAUAAUCACCAAUCAGAUGAUUCAUAAACCAUUUAGUCAAAUUGCAUCUCCAGAUUGGACAAAUUCUUCAUUGACAGAAAAAAAUGAAGGAUCUGACUAAUAGAACAAAUACAAUUAGAAAUCAAAUAGAAAGAAUAACAAGAGAGAGAAAAAAAGUAACUCCGGAGAUAAAUAUUAGUCUUAGCAAAACAAGUUAUAAUGCUAAAAGAUUAGAAAAAUGGCAAAUAUUGAAAAGAAGAAAUGCUCGAUUUAUUUCUAAAUUACAUUUGUUUUUAAAUUUUUCAUUGAAAGAAUCUACAAAAAUAUAUUUUUAUCCAUCAUUAAUAUUCCUAGAAUGAAGAGAAAAUUAUUUCUUGAAUCAACAAAAAAAAAAAAUUAUGAAUAAAUCCAUUUACAAUAAUAAAACAAGUCAAGAAAUAAUUAAUAAAAAAAAUCAAAAUCCAAUUGAGUUUAUUUUGACUAUAAAAAAGUCACUUUAUAAUAUUAGCAAUAGUAAGAAAAAUUCACAUAUUUUUUUAUGACUUAUCGUACUUAUCGCAGGCAUAUGUAUUUUAAAAAUUAUCACAAGCCCAAAUUAUUAACUUGUCUAAAUUAAAAUCAUUUCUUCAAUAUCAAGGAAUCCCUUUUUUUCUUAAGCCUGAAAUAAAGGAUUCUUUUGAAACACAAAGAAUAGUUCAUUCUAAAUUAAAGGAUAAUA
Molecule: long non-coding RNA, 1531 nt
Filed under: Olea europaea subsp. europaea
Lineage: Eukaryota; Viridiplantae; Streptophyta; Magnoliopsida; Lamiales; Oleaceae
Source: RNAcentral